This 68-nucleotide transfer RNA is filed under the name Anolis alvarezdeltoroi (Alvarez del Toros anole). Its description in RNAcentral is "tRNA-Gln". Lineage: Eukaryota; Metazoa; Chordata; Lepidosauria; Squamata; Anolidae. The record is from RNAcentral.
AGAAAACCAGGGCUCGAACCUGUACCUAAUAACCCAAAAUUAUUUGUACUUCAUUGUACUAUUCUCUA